Molecule: ribosomal RNA, 407 nt
Filed under: uncultured bacterium
Lineage: Bacteria
Description: partial 16S ribosomal RNA
Rfam family: Bacterial small subunit ribosomal RNA
Source: RNAcentral
AUUGAACGCUGGCGGCAGGCCUAACACAUGCAAGUCGAACGGAGCAGCGGAGGGGGAAGUAAUGCCUAGGAAUCUGCCUGGUAGUGGGGGAGAAGGACAGGUAACGGAAGCUAUUACCAAAUCCUAUCAGAUGCGGCUAGGUGGGAUUGGCUAGUGGGUGGGGUAACGGCCUACCAAGGCGAAGAUCCCUAGCUGGUCUGAGAGGAUGAUCAUCCACACUGGAACUGAGACACGGUCCAGACUCCUACGGGAGGCAGCAGUGGGGAAUAUUGCACAAUGGGCGCAAGCCUGAUGCAGCCAUGCCGCGUGUGUGAAGAAGGUCUUCGGAUUGUAAAGCACUUUAAGCUGGGAGGCGUUACCAACAGAAUAAGCACCGGCUAACUCCGUGCCAGCAGCCGCGGUAAUAC